AGAGUUUGAUCAUGGCUCAGGAUGAACGCUAGCUACAGGCUUAACACAUGCAAGUCGAGGGGAAACGAUAUUGGAAGCUUGCUUCCGAUAGGCGUCGACCGGCGCACGGGUGAGUAACGCGUAUCCAACCUGCCCACCACUUGGGGAUAACCUUGCGAAAGUAAGACUAAUACCCAAUGACGUCUCUAGAAGACAUCUGAAAGAGAUUAAAGAUUUAUCGGUGAUGGAUGGGGAUGCGUCUGAUUAGCUUGUUGGCGGGGUAACGGCCACAAGGCUACGAUCAGUAGGGGUUCUGAGAGGAAGGUCCCCCACAUUGGAACUGAGACACGGUCCAAACUGCUACGGGGAGCA
RNAcentral lists this ribosomal RNA (351 nucleotides) under uncultured bacterium. Its description in RNAcentral is "bacterial SSU rRNA". It matches the Rfam family "Bacterial small subunit ribosomal RNA", at positions 8 to 353 of the family's 1533-position model. The record is from RNAcentral.